RNAcentral lists this ribosomal RNA (301 nucleotides) under uncultured bacterium. RNAcentral describes it as "partial 16S ribosomal RNA". It matches the Rfam family "Bacterial small subunit ribosomal RNA", at positions 509 to 807 of the family's 1533-position model. The record is from RNAcentral.
CAGUAGCCACGGGAACACGUAGGGUGCAAGCGUUAAUCGGAAUUACUGGGCGUAAAGCGUGCGCAGGCGGUUUGUUAAGACAGAUGUGAAAUCCCCGGGCUUAACCUGGGAACUGCAUUUGUGACUGGCAAGCUAGAGUAUGGCAGAGGGGGGUGGAAUUCCGCGUGUAGCAGUGAAAUGCGUAGAUAUGCGGAGGAACACCGAUGGCGAAGGCAGCCCCCUGGGCCAAUACUGACGCUCAUGCACGAAAGCGUGGGGAGCAAACAGGAUUAGAUACCCCAGUAGUCCCUGUCUCUUAUAC